AACGAACGUUAGCGGCGCGCUUAACACAUGCAAGUCGAACGAGAAAGGGCUUCGGCCCCGGUACAGUGGCGCACGGGUGAGUAACACGUGGGUAAUCUACCCUCGAGCGGGGGGAUAACGUUCCGAAAGGAGCGCUAAUACCGCAUAAGACCACGCUCUCGAAAGGGGAGCGAGGUAAAAGUAGGCCUCUGAAUUCACGCUUACACUCGAGGAUGAGCCCGCGGCCCAUCAUGAUAGUUGGUAGGGUAAUGGCCUACCAAGCCGAAGACGGGUAGCUGGUCUUAGAGGAUGAUCAGCCACACUGGAACUGAGACACGGUCCAGACUCCUACGGGAGGCAGCAGUGGGGAAUCUUGCGCAAUGGGCGAAAGCCUGACGCAGCGACGCCGCGUGGGUGAUGAAGGCC
RNAcentral lists this ribosomal RNA (405 nucleotides) under uncultured bacterium. RNAcentral's name for it is "bacterial SSU rRNA". It matches the Rfam family "Bacterial small subunit ribosomal RNA", at positions 29 to 416 of the family's 1533-position model. The record is from RNAcentral.